AACGAACGCUGGCGGCAUGCCUAACACAUGCAAGUCGAACGAGAUCUUCGGGUCUAGUGGCGCACGGGUGCGUAACGCGUGGGAAUCUGCCCUUUGGUUCGGAAUAACAGUUGGAAACGACUGCUAAUACCGGAUGAUGACGAAAGUCCAAAGAUUUAUCGCCAGAGGAUGAGCCCGCGUAGGAUUAGCUAGUUGGUGUGGUAAAGGCGCACCAAGGGGACGAUCCUUAGCUGGUCUGAGAGGAUGAUCAGCCACACUGGGACUGAGACACGGCCCAGACUCCUACGGGAGGCAGCAGUGGGGAAUAUUGGACAAUGGGCGAAAGCCUGAUCCAGCAAUGCCGCGUGAGUGAUGAAGGCCUUAGGGUUGUAAAGCUCUUUUACCCGGGAUGAUAAUGACAGUACCGGGAGAAUAAGCUCCGGCUGACUCCGUGCCAGCAGCCGCGGUAA
RNAcentral lists this ribosomal RNA (449 nucleotides) under uncultured bacterium. RNAcentral's name for it is "partial 16S ribosomal RNA". It matches the Rfam family "Bacterial small subunit ribosomal RNA", at positions 29 to 523 of the family's 1533-position model. The record is from RNAcentral.